Molecule: ribosomal RNA, 375 nt
Filed under: uncultured bacterium
Lineage: Bacteria
Description: bacterial SSU rRNA
Rfam family: Bacterial small subunit ribosomal RNA
Source: RNAcentral
UAAUACAUGUGGGGCAAGCGUUGUUCGGAAUUACUGGGCAUAAAGGGUGCGUAGGCGGCUUGUUAAGUCACUGGUGAAAGUUUGCGGCCCAACCGUAAAAUUGCCUGUGAUACUGGCGAGCUUGAGUGCGUGAGGGGUAGGGGGAACGAGCAGUGUAGCGGUGAAAUGCGUAGAUAUUGCUCGGAAGGCCGGAGCCGAAGGGGCCCUACUGGUACGCAACUGACGCUGAGGCACGAAAGCGUGGGGAGCAAACAGGAUUAGAUACCCUGGUAGUCCACGCCGUAAACGAUGAGCACUAGGUGGAUGUCGAGCUAUCGAUGUCCGCCGCAGGCAAUUUGAUAAGUGCUCCGCCUGGGGAGUAUGGUCGCAAGGCUG